RNAcentral lists this ribosomal RNA (484 nucleotides) under uncultured bacterium. Its description in RNAcentral is "partial 16S ribosomal RNA". It matches the Rfam family "Bacterial small subunit ribosomal RNA", at positions 30 to 507 of the family's 1533-position model. The record is from RNAcentral.
AUUGAACGCUGGCGGCAGGCCUAACACAUGCAAGUCGAGCGGAUGAAGGGAGCUUGCUCCUGUCUUCAGCGGCGGACGGGUGAGUAAUGCCUACGAAUCUGCCUGGUCUUGGGGGCUAACGUCCGUAAACGGGCGCUAAUACCGCAUACGUCCUGAGUGUGAAAGUGGGGGUUCUUCGGACCUCACGCUAUCAGAUGAGCCUUGGUCGGAUUAGCUAGUUGGUGGGGUAAAGGCCUACCAAGGCGACGAUCCGUAACUGGUCUGAGAGGAUGAUCAGUCACACUGGAACUGAGACACGGUCCAGACUCCUACGGGAGGCAGCAGUGGGGAAUAUUGGACAAUGGGCGAAAGCCUGAUCCAGCCAUGCCGCGUGUGUGAAGAAGGUCUUCGGAUUGUAAAGCACUUUAAGUUGGGAGGAAGGGCAGUAAGUUAAUACCUUGCUGUUUUGACGUUACCAACAGAAUAAGCACCGGCUAACUUCGUG